AGUGAACGCUGGCGGUAGGCCUAACACAUGCAAGUCGAACGGCAGCACAGUAAGAGCUUGCUCUUACGGGUGGCGAGUGGCGGACGGGUGAGGAAUACAUCGGAAUCUACUUUUUCGUGGGGGAUAACGUAGGGAAACUUACGCUAAUACCGCAUACGACCUACGGGUGAAAGCAGGGGAUCUUCGGACCUUGCGCGAUUGAAUGAGCCGAUGUCGGAUUAGCUAGUUGGCAGGGUAAAGGCCCACCAAGGCGACGAUCCGUAGCUGGUCUGAGAGGAUGAUCAGCCACACUGGAACUGAGACACGGUCCAGACUCCUACGGGAGGCAGCAGUGGGGAAUAUUGGACAGUGGGCGCAAGCCUGGUCCAGCCAUACCGCGUGGGUGAAGAAGGCCUUCGGGUUGUAAAGCCCUUUUGUUGGGAAAGAAAAGCAGCAGGUUAAUACCCCGCUGUUCUGACGGUACCCAAAGAAUAAGCACCGGCUAACUUCGU
Molecule: ribosomal RNA, 491 nt
Filed under: uncultured bacterium
Lineage: Bacteria
Description: partial 16S ribosomal RNA
Rfam family: Bacterial small subunit ribosomal RNA
Source: RNAcentral